This 67-nucleotide transfer RNA is filed under the name Loxodonta africana (African savanna elephant). It matches the Rfam family "tRNA". From Rfam's summary of the family: Transfer RNA (tRNA) molecules are approximately 80 nucleotides in length. Their secondary structure includes four short double-helical elements and three loops (D, anti-codon, and T loops). Further hydrogen bonds mediate the characteristic L-shaped molecular structure. tRNAs have two regions of fundamental functional importance: the anti-codon, which is responsible for specific mRNA codon recognition, and the 3' end, to which the tRNAs corresponding amino acid is attached (by aminoacyl-tRNA synthetases). tRNAs cope with the degeneracy of the genetic code in two manners: having more than one tRNA (with a specific anti-codon) for a particular amino acid; and 'wobble' base-pairing, i.e. permitting non-standard base-pairing at the 3rd anti-codon position. The record is from Rfam by way of RNAcentral. Lineage: Eukaryota; Metazoa; Chordata; Mammalia; Proboscidea; Elephantidae.
GGUGGUUCAGUGGUGAAGUCCUCAGCUGUUAACUGAGAGGUUGGUGGUUCAAACCCACCAGCCACUC